RNAcentral lists this unclassified non-coding RNA (191 nucleotides) under uncultured Russula. RNAcentral describes it as "sequence contains ITS1". Lineage: Eukaryota; Fungi; Basidiomycota; Agaricomycetes; Russulales; Russulaceae. The record is from RNAcentral.
UCGUGCAACGGAGGUGCCCCGGGUUGUCGCUGGCCUUUCAAAAGGUCGUGCACGCCCGAGUGCCUUCACACAAUCCAUCUCACCCUUUGUGCAUCACUGCGUGGCGUUCUCCUGGAAGGGAGGGCCUGCGUUUUCACACAAAACUAGAUACAGUGUAGAAUGUCUUCUUUUGCGAUCACACGCAAUCAAUA